Molecule: non-coding RNA, 4943 nt
Organism: Podarcis lilfordi (Lilford's wall lizard)
Lineage: Eukaryota; Metazoa; Chordata; Lepidosauria; Squamata; Lacertidae
Source: the annotation of a GenBank genome assembly
AUUUUGAGAACGAUCUUUUACUAGGAAAUUCUGUUAAUUUCUCAACCAUCCUUUGUUUGCAAUACUUUUAUUUCGGUCAUCAAGGGUAAGAGAGAGUCACAUGAAAGUCGUAACCGUUCUCCUGGACCAUAAAUGCCUCAGGGUGUCUGACCUUGAGAUUUCCUGAACUUGAAAUUUUCACAGGUGCUGAUCACUGGCUGCAAGAAAGGGAGGCCAGCUGUUAAACUUUGCUCUAUGGCAUAUAAAUGCAAAGAAAAAUAAGGAUUUCCAGAGGCUGUGAUUUGCAGGUAGCUCCAGUGCGAGACAGUGAGUAGCCAAUUCAAUGACAAUCUGUUAUGCGCAUUCCCUCUCUGCAAGCAUUUCAGAGAAAACAGUGAGAUAUAAACAAUGUGUUUUUUUGUAGAAAAAGAGGUGCUCACCAUGAACGCCUCCCUUGUUCUCUUAUAAUGGUGCUCACCUGAGAGGUGCCGUGACUGAGUUCUGGAGAGUUCUGGCUGAACAAAAGCCCUGGAUAUAAAUGUAAGAAAUGAUUUUCUUACUACAACAACAACAACACCAACACUGUGCUGGCUGGGGCUGCUUUUAAGCCUACUAUCAGAGUACAGAGUUUUGUAAAUGAAAACGGGGGGAAAGAACAGGUCCCAAUGUGAGAAACUUAACAAAAUACCGGUAUAUUUCCGUAGUAAGUAUGUGCAAUUCAUCUUUAACUAACUUUCAACUGCCCAAAACGAAAUAAUCCCAGCAAUUUUAAAAUUAAGAUUUGGGGUUCUUAAAGAAAAAAGACAUUCUGAAAUCCUCAGCAAAGCGAAUUCUGUGCAUUCAUCACAUUUGCAAGGACACUACUUAAUAUCUGCAGCUAGUACUUUAGAGCAGCCCUACUCCCCAACCUGGUUCCCUCCAGAUGUUUUGGGCUACAACUCCCAUCGUCUUCAGCGAGUGCUGACUGGAGCUGAUGAGAGUUGUGGUCCAAAACAUCUGGAGGAGGGCACAGGUUGGGGCACACUGCUGUAGAGAUACUGGCCACAGACAUGGAUCUUAUGUAAUUUUAUCAGGGCUGCUUAUUUAAGACUUACUUAGUGUUGGCAGAGAACCCUGCUAUUUAGACUGAUAUACAAUAUGGCUAGCUCUGGUUGCUGGUCAUGGAGUUCAGAGGAAUUGCCUUGCAUGGUCUGGUGGGCAAAGCAAUCUGGGAGUUUUGACAGAGGUUGUAUCACUUCUAACAGAUGCCAGUACCUGUAGGCUCCUUUACAUAACACGUCCCAUGCUCUUCUGUUGUCUCCAUGUGAUAGGGAUGGGGAACCUGUGGCCUCCAAAAUGGACUUCACCAGCAAGGCCAGAGGUCAGGGGGGAGAUGGAGUCCAAGAACAUCUGUUUUAUCCCUGAUUUUAGCUUUCCUCCUAGGAAAGGUGCUCUCACCCCCCACCCCCACCGCGACCAUCCUGAUCCUCUUUUCCACACGUUUUCCAGCUCUCCAAUUACAGAUUAUUAUCAGUGGUUCCCAAUUUUUCUGGCCAGCGUCCCCUUGGUUCCAUGAACUCAUCCUCAGUGCCCCUUGCCCUAUGAAAAGCAUCAUUCAGAACAGCAGUUUGCACAACCCAAUAAGGAACAUGAAAGCACAAUGAAAUUCAAAACAGUAACAAUUAGUUGCACGUUUAUUCAAAAUGCAAUGAAAACGAUGUACUUUAAUCCAGCAUAGCUGAGAGGAACUCGCUUUUCAAAGCCAGAGAGUCAUCGAUGUCUCCAGUGUCCCUCUGCCACCCCCUUGCCUCUUAAAGCGCCCCCCCCGGGGUAAUCCCCCCCAGGAGGGCAAUACCACCCACUUUGGGAACAACUGAAUUACAGUGGUACCUCGGGUUAAAUACGCUUCAGGUUACAGACUCCGCUAACCCAGAAAUAGUACCUUAGGUUAAGAACUUUACCUCAGGAUGAGAACAGAAAUCGUGCAGCGGCGGUGCAGCAGCAGCGGGAGGCCCCAUUAGCUAAAGUGGUGCUUCAGGUUAAGAACAGUUUCAGGUUAAGAACGGACCUCCGGAACGAAUUAAGUACGUAACCAAAGGUACCACUGUAUAGCCUUCUGAUCUCUUAACAAUUACCAUCAUCUGUCUGCAGACUCUUCACCCAUGAACACAAAAAUCUGGAAUUGGGGUGCUCCUAAGAAUGGCUGCUAAGCAGACUUGAGCCCCCAAGCCUGUUUCAUUUUUUUAAAAAACACUUCUGAGGAGCGUAUCAGGAUUUGCUGCUAGGUCUGUAACUUCAUCCAGCCCUGCUGGACUCAGAUUCCUCUGCCCAAGCAAUCUUUGCAGAGGCAACCACUGAUUGGCAGCUGUCUGCAUGGCAAGUUGAGGGUGACCCCUAGAUCAACCUUAUAUUCUCCCUCCCUCCCCAGCCUACCUCCCACCUCCUCACUCCCUCUCAACUUUACCCUGGUUGGCCUGUUGGCCCUUUCCCACCUGUCCCGCUAGGCUGAAGGGGGAUCAACAGUGUUGGCUUAUUUCAGCAGUGGUGUCGGAUAAGCCCUUUGGCAGAGUCCUCUCUCCAAAGCAUGUUGUACAAAGGUUACCAUCUUCUCUUGGCCCAAAGUCUCUUCUCCUGCUCUUUGAGAUGCUGGCGAGAGCACCCACCAGCUGCGCUUUCGCAAGCUGGUUGCAAUUUUGGGUUUGUUUGCUUUUCAUAUAAUUUUUACUGAAGUUUUAAAAUUAUAAAGACCAGGACAAAAUUACAGGAGGGAAAUAAGAAAAAGAGAGAGAAGGUAUUGAAAGAAAAGCAUUGCACAGCAUCCUCAGAGCAGACAUGGAACAUGAGCACAGCAGAAUAUUGUUGAGGAUUAACAAAUAUUUCUACAUAUUUGAAAAAGGAAAUAUCACGGAAAUAUGUUGAAAGCAAGAUGGAGCAGGCAAGGUGGAGCAGGCUCCCUCUCCACAGUGCAAGGUGAAACCUGGCUUUCCUAAAAAAAUCAUUUGUCUCUUCCGUAUAUACUUUCCUGUUUUUGUUGUUGUUUCUGUUAUUUUUGCUGUGUCUAUUUGUCUGCUUCACUUCAAUAAAGUUUCCCCCCCUAAAAAGAAGAUUAUUGCACACCUAAAUCUCAAUUCUUUUUAUGAAGCAUCAAGAUGAGGUGGAAGGAGGUUAGAUCAAUGAGUUCUCUGGGUAGUCUUUUCAGAUACCUGGCCAGGACCUUUCAUGUCAGGGGCAGAGGAGUGGGAGAAGGCAGAAGUGGAGCCCGCGAUUCACAGAGCAGCUCUGUAACUGCACAGCAGUUGUUACCCCAUCCUGCUGGGGUUUGGGGUCAUGGGAGAAGCAGGAGCAAUAGCUGGUGCCACUUCCAUGCAGAUUAGAGCAAUGCAGGUGAGGUCAGGACCCUGGGCAGCUCAGCAGAUCCUGCAGCCUGAGCUAUGAAAGAUGCCUCAAGCAGUGAGGGAAAGGAGCCUUUGCACAAACUCAGAGGCACUUUUCCCCCCAGCAACGUGAGAUGGGUUUUGCUUGGGAUCAAAUUUUUUGCAAGUGGGCUGGGAUUCCUCACUCCAUCUUUGCUUGCCUACUGACCAGUGUUUGUGUUUUGAUUGUCUAACUCAGAGCUUUCCAAACUGUGUGUCGUGACACAUUAGUGCGUCGGCUGCAGUGUCUGCAAAGGAGCACUGCUGUCUUGUCGUAAUGUGCUGAGCAGCAAAGGAGCCCAUUUCGAGGAAUUUUCAGAGGCUGGACUGUUUGGAAGCAGAAGGCUUUAUGAAACCUCAGCUGCCCCGCUGCUCCGUGCACAGACGGGGCAAUGAGAGACAGAUAAGACUCUACAUGACGUGCAGUCAUCUUUAUCUCACGUAUACAUGCUGCAGCCUCCUCCGACCCAGCCCCAUCUCUCACGAGCCAUUAGAACAAACACUGCCAGACCUCUCUUAGGGCAAUUUAAUUGCAGGCCACUGCCCUCUGUUCUGAUUGCAAGAUUUCAUCUACCUUAUCUGGGGCACCUUUGUGAUUAUGCUUGUUUGUGUUUCCCUUACCACCAUGGCUGGCGGCUUGCCCAUUUAACACAGUUGCCAGGCUGAGGCAAGCAAAGAUAAGUUUUUUCUCCAUUUUUAUGUACCCUUUUAACUUUAUUGACUCCUCUGAGUGAAGCUGUUAAUGGCAGUCCCUGACAUUGCUUCCAAAGGAGAAGAGAUAAAAUAUAUUAAUUGAAGAAACAGCAUCUUUCGCUGGGCUGGUUAAGGUUCGCAUUGAAGGACGUGAGCUUUCAGCUUUCACAGAACUCUUCAAAAACUCCUUGCAUGAAGAUGAGUUCUGUUAAACUUGAAAAUGUCCUUGCCAGGUUCCAAAAUGGCUAAAUCUGUGUGAUUGUUUGCUGUUCAUGAAAAUAGUGUAUGUCUGCCUGUGCAUAUAUUACACAUUCAGACCAAUCCAUUUUUUAAUGGAUUAGGGGGCAGGGAAUAUGGUCAAUUAUGAUAAAUAUCAAAUUAACAUAUCAUAAGAGAUUGCAAGUUAAGUAUUUGUGGAUAAAUUAGCCUUUUUUCAAUUUUGAAACGGUAAGUAGAAUGAUGGGGUACAGGCAUGUGUUGAUUUUAAUUUAUUGUAGUUCUCAUCUAUUUGAUCUUUAUGCAUUCCUGCAUUCCUGUGUAAACAUGCUAACGGUAUAAAUAAAUGUGUAUAAAUGGGGGCGUAGGUGAAAGUAUAAAAAUGGAAUGAACACAGAGAUGUUAUUAGACAAAAAGGAGCAUGUCUGCCAACAUUGGUGGGUUUCCAGGGGGAAAGGGCUGUAGCUCAGUGGCAAAACAGUUGCUAAGCUCACAAAAGGUCCCAGGUUCCUUUCCUAGUAUUCCUGGUAUCUCCAAGCAAAGCUAGCAAAGUCUCCUGCCUGAGAUCUUGGGGGAAACCACUGUCAUACAUUGUGCUGACCAGCCUUAAGAACAUAAGAGCCUGCUGAUUCAGGCCAAUGCCCCAUCUAAUUCAACAUCCUG